RNA transcript from Juglans microcarpa x Juglans regia, 4203 nucleotides. It is a transcript of the gene named putative disease resistance protein RGA4, with no coding region annotated. NCBI's taxonomy places the organism in Eukaryota, Viridiplantae, Streptophyta, Magnoliopsida, Fagales, Juglandaceae. The record is from RefSeq and is a predicted model, not a curated record. The transcript has 5 exons.
AAUUUGCCUAUUCGCUUAUCUUCUAAGAAAUGGCAGAAGGUUUUCCCUCCAUUAUUGUUCCUGGAAUCAUUGAGCAUUUGGACGCGCAGACGGUGAAAAAGCUCGGAUUAUUAUCGUCGUGUGUCAAAGAUUUUGAAAAGCUGAAGGACAUUGUUUUAGAAUUACAACCUGUGCUUCUGGAUGCCGAGGAGCAACAAGCCGCGAACGAUGAAAUCAAAGCCUGGCUCGAGAAGCUAACAGAUAUCUUAUAUGAAGUGGAGGAGUUGCUGGAUGAUUUAUCCACCAAAGCUCUUCGGAAAGAACUCGUGACCCGAAAAAAGAAGGCAAAACAGGUGUGCAUCUUCUUUUCCAAAUCGAAUCAACUUGCAUUUAACCGUAGAAUGGGUCCUAAGAUUAAGACUAUUCUAAACAAUUUAGAUCACAUUGCAAACGACAUGAGGAAGUUUCAUUUUGAGGAACGCCAUGGAAAGAUACCAGUAGAAGAGAAUAGGGAGAGGGAUCAUAAUGCUUUUUGUCCAGAAGUACUUAUUGGUAGAGAUACGGAGAAAAAGGCAGUUGUUGACUUUUUAAUGGACUCCAAUGUUAAGGAGAACGUUUCAAUACUUCCGAUUGUUGGAACCGGAGGAAUGGGAAAGACAACACUAGCUCAGUUCGCAUUCAAUCACGAGAGAAUCCAAGAAUAUUUUCAGCUAAAAAUGUGGGUGAAUGUCAUGUCAUGUGUCUCUCGUGAUGACGUUGGUAUGGAAAAAACAAUCGUUAGAAAAAUCCUAGAAUCUGCCAGAAAUGAGAAAGUAACAUUAAAUCCUUUUAUGAAUCCUUUUAUGAUUUUUGAAAAAGAAAUUUAUGGUAAGAAGUACCUACUUGUCUUGGAUAAUGUGCGCAUCAAUGAUCGUGAAAAAUGGUUACGCUUGAAACGAGGUCUGAUAGAGCAAUAUGGUGCAAGAGGCAGCAAAAUUUUAGUAACUACACGUAGUGAAGAGGUUGCCGAUACUAUGUGCACAGUUAAACCCUAUUACUUGAGAGGUUUAGAUGAAGAUGACUCAUGGUAUUUAUUUAAACGGGUGGCGUUUAAAAAUGGCCAAGAGCCAGACGAUGAGGACGGAAUUGUGAAUGUGGGAAAGGAGAUUGUGAGAAAAUGUGAAGGAGUCCCUCUCAUCAUAAUAACAAUUGGAAGGUUAUUGUAUUUCAAAAAUUCAGAAACAGAGUGGUUGUCUUUUAUGAAUAAUGAACUUUCAAGAAUACAUCUAAAUGAAGAAGCUGACAUCUUAGCAACUCUUAAGUUGCUGAUUUACGAUCAACUUCCGCAGCAUUUGAAACAAUGUUUUGCUUAUAGUUGUUUAUUUCCAAAGAAUUACGAGAUUGAUAAAUCAACAUUGAUUAAUCUUUGGAUAGCACAAGGAUUUAUAAAGUCGUCAAAUGAAGAAGAUGAAUGCCUUGAAGAUGCUGGUCAUGAAUACUUUAUGGAUUUAAUUUCGAGAUUUUUCUUUGAAAAAGUCACAACAGAUUGGUCGGGUGAAGUCACUAGCUGCAAAAUGAAUGACCUCAUGCAUGAUCUUGCUAUGUUGAUUGCAGGACCGUCAGUAACCACAUUAAACUCUUUUACAUAUGAAGAGGACGUUAACAAGAGCACUCGUCAUCUAUGGGUUGGUUACGAUAUAGAAUAUUACUUAUAUCUCGCACGUUUAAUUUCUAAAGCAAAAUGUAGACUGCGAACAUUUCUUUCACCAAGUGACAGUGAACCUAAGGGCAUGACAGAAUGUGAUGCAAUUUUUUCAAGCUUCAAAACGUUGCGCGCAUUGCAAUUGGGUAGUAGAAACCUAGAUGGUUUACCGUCAAGCUCGAUUUGUAAGUUGAAUGGUUUAAGAUAUCUUGAUCUUUCUGGAAUGUACAUGAUGAAGAAGUUACCAGAUUCUAUAACCAGCUUGCAGAAUUUGCAGACGUUAAAACUGUGCAAUUGUAGUUGGUUUGAAGAAUGGCCGAGAGACUUUUCAAGAUUAGUCAACCUCAGGCAUCUUGACAUCAAUGGAUGUUGGAAACUGACUUAUAUGCCACGUGGAUUAGGCCAAUUGACUAAACUUCGGUCAUUAUCAGACUUCCUGGUAUCCCCCCUGGAUUCUCUCAACAUGCAUAGCGGUGGACUAAAUGAAUUAAAUGGACUAAAUUGCCUAAGAGGUGAUUUACAGAUUAGAAAUUUGGGAUGUGGGAAACAUGAUGUUAAAGAUUACAGGGCUGCAAAUCUGAAUGAGAAAGAAAAGAUUCGUUCUCUAAAAUUAUAUUGGGAGGAUUCAUUUGGGUUGAGGGAUGAUACCCUCGCUGGAAAAAAAUUGAAAGCCUUAGAACCUCACCGCAAUCUUAAAAGGCUUCAAUUAAGCGGUUACAAAGGUGCGGAGUUUCCGAGUUGGCUUUCGUCGCUCACAAAUCUUGUUGAAUUUCAAUUAUCCAAGUGUGAAAAACUGAAAUGUUUGCCACCAUUGAGUGAACUGCCCUCUCUUAAGCGUCUGUUUCUUAAAUACUUGGAGGGUAUUGAGUACAUGUCAGAUAGUGAUGAUGAGUAUACUGGGACAUUCUUCCCAUCCUUAGAGGAACUUCAACUCUAUUAUUGCCCUAAUCUCAAGGGGUGGAGGAGGGAAGAGCCUCGUUUACUCCCUUCAUUUCCUUGUCUUUCAGAACUAUCCAUCUCGGGUUGCACCGAGCUGGAUUCCAUGCCGACGUUUCCAUGUCUUGAAGAAGAGUUGGUCCUGUCAAAUGUCAGAUGGAAGCCAAUGCAAAUGACAAUGAUGAUGAAUAUGGGCUCCUCUACAUCUGUCUCUUCUUCAUUUGCACCUCUCUCAAAAUUGAAGCAUCUACGACUACAUAGGAUAGAAGAUCUACAUAUUCUCCCAGAGAAGGGACUGCAAAACCUGAAUUCUCUCAAGUCUUUGCAUAUAGUCAACUGCCAUAGAUUAAAGUCUUUGUCUCAAGGUAUUCAAUAUCUCACUGCACUUCAAGAACUGAGGCUUAAGCAUUGCCAUAAUCUCUAUAUAGGUGGCAAUGAUGAGGUUGAGAUGGGAUGGAAAGGCCUUGAGAGCCUCCACUCUCUGGAUUUCAUUGGACUUCCCAAAUUGGAGUCUCUGCCAUCAGGUCUUGAACAUGUUACCACUCUGAAAAUGUUACAGAUUUCGGGCUGUUCCUUGUUGACAGCCAUACCAGAAUGGAUCCGGAACUGGACAUCACUGCAAGAAUUUGAAAUUUCGAAUUGCCCUAAUUUAACUUUGCUUCCCGAGGGAAUGCGUCUGUUGAAGACUUUGAAAAUGUUGGCAAUUAGACAGCACUGUCCCUUAUUGUUGCCAAGAUGCGAGGCACACACAGGAGAGGAUUGGCCAAAGAUUGCUCACAUUCCUGAAUUGUACUUGGAUCGGUCCUCCAUGCCCAAGGAGGAAGUGAUGGAGAACGUUGGAAAAAAGUUUAAUGUUUAUUAUAAUUAUAUGUCUUAGCAGUUUUAAUUUGCAAGAAGUCAACAAUUUAGCGGAAAAACAAUAAGAAGGUGAAAGAAGAAAAUGAGGAAAUUUAGGAUAAGAGGCCGGAGGAAUGGACUCUGGGCAGAGGCAACAAAGGUUGUGGAAUUUGAGGACUACUAGAACCUCAUGUGAGGUCAAUAAGGUUGAGAAGUCAGAGGAGGAUAUGCCACCAACAUCUUUUGUUAGAACUGUGAAUCGGCCACUUCAACAAUUUCAUAAGUGCUUGCAUUUCUGUUAGCAUGACAAAUUUUAAGGAAAGAUUAAUUUGGUUCACCUGGUGGAGCAUAUAUGAAGAUGAUGACUACAACAUGAUGAUGCAACCAAGUGCUUGGGACUUCUGUAUUACUGCUUUGCAUGAACAUCGUUUGGCAUCAAUGAUUUUACAGUUGGAUGUUGUAUAGAAAAGAAAGGAUUUCCGACUAAAAAAUGGAGGAAAAUCUUCUUGGUUUGCUUCAAAGAUUCAUAUAAAUGCUUGUGACAAAAAGAAUGAUGGAGAUACAAAAUGGUAUCGAGUGCUGAUUUCUGCUAGUGGAAGUACCAACAUUUGCCUACCCAAGUUUAAGAAACUUCAAAUUCAUCAGAACAUGAAUUUGCAAUUCGAAAUUUUUCUUUUAGUUUGUGGUGUGUUGAAUUCAUAGAUACCUUCAAGUAUUAUCUUCACUUUGAAUUGUUUGAUUAUUUGAAUUCCACUGGGCACAAGUUUUCU